RNAcentral lists this ribosomal RNA (253 nucleotides) under Fragaria nipponica var. yezoensis. Its description in RNAcentral is "5.8S ribosomal RNA". The stretch from base 6 to 161 matches the Rfam family "5.8S ribosomal RNA". From Rfam's summary of the family: 5.8S ribosomal RNA (5.8S rRNA) is a component of the large subunit of the eukaryotic ribosome. It is transcribed by RNA polymerase I as part of the 45S precursor that also contains 18S and 28S rRNA. Lineage: Eukaryota; Viridiplantae; Streptophyta; Magnoliopsida; Rosales; Rosaceae. The record is from RNAcentral.
UAAACGACUCUCGGCAACGGAUAUCUCGGCUCUCGCAUCGAUGAAGAACGNAGCRAAAUGNNAUANUNGGUGURAAUUGCAGAAUCCCGUGAACCAUCGAGUCUUUGAACGCAAGUUGCGCCCGAAGCCGUUAGGCCGAGGGCACGUCUGCCUGGGCGUCACACGUCGUUGCCCCCCCGACCCCUUCGGGGGUCGGACGGGACGGAUGAUGGCCUUCCCGUGUGCCCCGUCACGCGGUUGGCAUAAAUACCGA